CUCGCUUUGUAUUACUAUUUAUUCUUUGAUUUCAUAAUAAACCUUCAUGUGUUGAUUGAUUAGGAUUAUUGUAAUCAUGUUUGAUUUUAGUUCAUGUUAAACCUUAAUAUUUGUCUUCGAUUUCACAAUAAAACUGAUAUGCUUACAUAGGAAAUAACAUUCCAAUCUCUAGGGCUUAAUCGCCUGAAGUCCUGAACAACAAAUCUUGAAAAAAAUGGAUGGUUCAUCCCAAAGUCAGUGAUGACCAGAAACUAUAGGUUCUAUCACGGAGAGAAGGAGCAGUGGUUAUCGUGAAAAAUUCAUAGGAAGAUUCUUCCGUAAUAAGUGGUGUUGCUUAUAAGCUACCACCAAGCCACAACCUCUCUCUCUCUCUAUAAAUUCCAUAUAAAGAUGAGAACUAACAGCAGCUGAAUUUUACAGUCAGUGAUGUCUUCAUCUCCACAUAUCUCUGAUUCACUCAACACGUUUAUGUAAUUUAGUCUAGAAGAAACGACGAAGGAGGAACUGCAAUAAACGACCAUCGCCGACCUGACUUGAUUACAGGAGAUUUUGAGAAGAGCUAUUGGUUUUCAUAUUACCUCUUUGAACCAUUAGAGGGUUGCUUAAGAGCAGAUGAGUCACAUAUCAACGGCGGAUUUAGCUAGGAUCCAACAACAGGUCAGUAAUUACUUUCAUUAUUUAAGUGAUUUAUCGUUUAAUACAGAAACGAAUAUUUAAUUAGGUUUUGAAGAAUUUGAUGUAGAAUAUAAUAAAAUAUAGAAGCAAUUUUGAAUGAUGUGAUUGUUUUUUAGUAUAUCCUAAGCGACCAGAUACCUUUUAGAUUACGAUUUUAGGUUGGUAUUGUUUAUGGUGUACCUUAUCCUACGAGAUUUGCCGAGUCAAAGGCCUGAUCAUUGAAUAUUAUCGUACGAGGUUUGCGGCCUGAUCAACACUUCACAAAAACAGAGUUAUUACUUCAACCAUAAUUCAAAAGAAUGCCGUCAUUUACCACAACUCCGAGAAGCUCUGCUUAUUUCUCUGCUCUGACACAAGAGACCGAUAAAAAGCUUCAAAAGGUGAUAGCUUUACCGAAUCAGAGACGCGAUUUCUUACAAGCAUUGUUUCCUGAUAUAGCUUUGGAAGUUGAUGAUCGAGCUAGAGGUACUUUUCAUGUUCUUGCAGCCACUCCUCAACAACACCAUCAAUCCAAACUUAUUCAUGUAGUGCUUCUUGGUCAAACAACCAUGGUUGAUCGUAGCUCAUCUUUAUAAAAUCUUUCCCGGGUGAAAAGCAAGAUUCAAUGAUCAUGAUCAGGUGGAAGAUGAGAUCUGUGGAUCACCAAUGGUUUUGAAGCUGUGUCCUUUGGAUUUUGAUCAUUGUACGCCUGUGGAAUACAGGUUUGUGCUGAGGGCUAAUUUUUCUAUGUCCCCCCUUGAUAAGAACUAGAGCAACUGAGAAGGAUGGAGUCUCGGAUGGUGGGAUUAGAGCUCUGCGGGUGGGCAUUGUUAUCAAAGAUGAUGGAAUGUCCUGCAGCAAGAAUGAGUUGUGCUGUCAGUGCUUAGGUGAUGAAGUAUUCGAGGGGUAAAAGUACGAUUCGCGACAAAGAUUUUAGGAAGUCCCUUUAAUACAACUUUGAGAAGAUUUUUAAACAACACUUUUGGAAAGUUCACAAGGUUAUUGGCUACCUGUUCAUACUCAUCUUAGCACCUAUCCUCUUAAGCAUUGAGGAAGGGUUAAGAAAUGUUUAAACUUGCAUAUUCAUCCGAUCUCAUCACUAAACAUGAGCCGAGCAAUCAUCCUAGAGAAAAGACUUGAAAGCAACAACCCAUAGAUAGUACUGUAUACAUAUAGGUAUUCAAUUCAUUUUUUUUUUUUUUGUUAAUUGUGUGAUUUUAGAUGUGAAUUUGAGCAACUAUGAGGAACGGUACCUGUGGAUUACUAUAAUAUUAUUUAGUAGCAUAUAUUAAAACUUCUAAAA
Long non-coding RNA from Helianthus annuus (common sunflower), 1957 nucleotides. RefSeq lists it as uncharacterized. The record is from RefSeq and is a predicted model, not a curated record. The transcript is spliced from 9 exons. NCBI's taxonomy places the organism in Eukaryota, Viridiplantae, Streptophyta, Magnoliopsida, Asterales, Asteraceae.